Molecule: ribosomal RNA, 216 nt
Filed under: Triticum aestivum (bread wheat)
Lineage: Eukaryota; Viridiplantae; Streptophyta; Magnoliopsida; Poales; Poaceae
Description: partial small subunit ribosomal RNA
Source: RNAcentral
CUAGGCAAAAGACAUGAUCCCUUUAUUCCCAUGUCUUCCGGGAAGCAGAACCAGGUCAAGAUGAUAUGGGUCGCCCCUUCUUCUUGCGCCAAAGGUCUUACCAUUUCUGAAGGAACUGGGGCUACAAUUCUUUUCAAUUUCCAUUCAAGAGUUUCUAUCUGUUUCCACGCCCUUUUCUUGAGACCUCGAAACAUGAGGACAAAUUACUUCUCUUAG